AUUGAACGCUGGCGGCAUGCCUUACACAUGCAAGUCGAACGGCAGCGGGGACUUCGGUCCGCCGGCGAGUGGCGAACGGGUGAGUAAUGUAUCGGAACGUACCUUUCAGUGGGGGAUAACGUAGCGAAAGUUACGCUAAUACCGCAUAUUCUCUGAGGAGGAAAGCAGGGGACCUUCGGGCCUUGCGCUGAUGGAGCGGCCGAUAUCAGAUUAGCUAGUUGGUGGGGUAAAGGCUCACCAAGGCUACGAUCUGUAGCGGGUCUGAGAGGAUGAUCCGCCACACUGGGACUGAGACACGGCCCAGACUCCUACGGGAGGCAGCAGUGGGGAAUUUUGGACAAUGGACGCAAGUCUGAUCCAGCCAUUCCGCGUGCAGGACGAAGGCCUUCGGGUUGUAAACUGCUUUUGUACAGAACGAAAAGGUCUCUAUUAAUACUAGGGGCUCAUGACGGUACUGUAAGAAUAAGCACCGGCUAACUACGUGCCAGCCGCCGCUGUAA
This 500-nucleotide ribosomal RNA is filed under the name uncultured bacterium. Its description in RNAcentral is "partial 16S ribosomal RNA". It matches the Rfam family "Bacterial small subunit ribosomal RNA", at positions 30 to 523 of the family's 1533-position model. The record is from RNAcentral.